This is a long non-coding RNA of Oncorhynchus nerka (sockeye salmon), 444 nucleotides long. RefSeq lists it as uncharacterized. NCBI's taxonomy places the organism in Eukaryota, Metazoa, Chordata, Actinopteri, Salmoniformes, Salmonidae. The record is from RefSeq and is a predicted model, not a curated record. The transcript has 3 exons.
GACUGACUACCACCUUUUUGUAUACGGCGCUAUUGACAAAGUUCAGUGGGAAAAAGUUGUGGUGGACUACUUUCAGGAGGACAAUCGUGCUGAUUCUCUCUGACUUAAACAGACGAUGAGGAAAUCCCUGAUUUAGAUAAAAGCAUUUAAAUUGAAGAAGACAUUGUAGAGUCUGACAGUGAUGAGGAAGAAGAAAUGGCACUUGACAGGGGUCAACAUCCCACAAGCUGGUGGAAAGCUGGUGGCAACAACAACCGACUCUGAACUUCAGGCUGCUGACACAGAUCAAGCAGUACCAGCACUUCAGAUGGUCUGCCUGUACAAGCACCACCUGGACUGGACACAGCUAAACAAAUCUUUUUGGGAAUAUCAGGGACUUUUGCAACGAACAGGCUAUGGGCAUUGUGAGGUAUACUUAUUUUCCACCAUUUGCAAAUAAAUUCA